Molecule: non-coding RNA, 2085 nt
Organism: Cicer arietinum (chickpea)
Lineage: Eukaryota; Viridiplantae; Streptophyta; Magnoliopsida; Fabales; Fabaceae
Source: RefSeq, a predicted model, not a curated record
UCUUUCGCGAUGGACUCUCAGAUGCUUUAAUUUGACUCUUUUUUUUUUCUUCACGAAUUUUAGAACACCUUAGGUGAAUCAUAAUGCAUGCAAUCCUACGAUCAAAGCAGGUUUUAGUAUUCUUGCAUUAUCGACGGAAAUGAAACGACACCACGAUUUAGGGUUUUCAAUAAGUGCAUGAUUUUAAUUUUAUUGCUAAAUUUGUUUAGUUUUUACAUUUCUUUCUUUAUGUUCACAGUGGCUACUAUGUGCAGAGACAACAGCUUGACGGUAAAAAUACCAAUGACCUUGUAAAUCUAUGAGAUGUGCUGUCUAAUAGCAGCUAGAGUAACUCUACAGCACUAUAGCAUAUCGGGCUUUAAAAUGGUGAUCAGCUAUCUUAAACUUUUGAGCAAUUCUUCAAGUUGUAUAUUACUACUUCUAAUUUCUUGUGGAUUUUCUUUGUAAUUGGUGACUGCAUAUUUUGCUUUUACUCUAUUCCAUAUUGCCUCUUCUGGAUAUGCCCAAUGAUGACUGCUUGUUGUGAUAUUGUACUCUGAAUAUCAUUCACAGUCUUUCCAUCCAUUCUGCCUUUCUUCACACUGCCAUCACUAAGUUUCUUCUUAUUCUUCUUCUUCAUCAUUGCUGUCACUAUCACCUUCAUCAUCAUCAUCAUCAUCAUUAUUAUUAUUAUUAUUAUUAUUAAUUAAUUCUUAGUGACAGUGGGUUGAGAUGGCGGAGGUUGCGGGCAUUUGUGAUGUGUGCACUGCCUUCAUGGAUGCUGAGAGGCUUUUAUGGAUGUUGAAAAAGUACAAACAUAUCAAUAUCUGAGGGCUGAGGUGCUAUCUUCAGUUAUACUCUAGAUAUCAUAUUACUUUUGGUUGUAUUUUGGCAUUUGUGUUUUAUUAACUACUUGGUUUUUAAAUAUAUAAUAGUUGUCAGCAUCAAAUUUUUCCUUCUUUCUCUUUUAUCUCAAACUACUGAUUAGUUCCUUAAGUUGUUUAUUCCUACUUUUCAAUUUUCAUUUCUUGUAGAUUUGCUGCAAUACAAUCAAAGACAAUCAAUUUUGCUUGUUCAAUUGCCUUGGGAUAAAUUUGCAUAUAAUUCCUUUUGGAUAUGCCCGAUGACGAAUUUUCACUACUAGAUAUACUCCACUAAAUAAUCAAUCAAAGCUUUUCCAUCCAUUGUGCCUUUCUCCCAUCUGUCAUCACUAACUAUGCUGCUGUUGUUGUUGUUGUACUACUACUAUUUCUUCUUCUUCUUCUUCAACAUCAUUGUUGUCAUUUACUACUACUGACAGUGGGUGGAGAUGAUAGAGGUUGUGUGCUUGUUAAUUAUGUGCACUACCAUGAUGGAUGGCGGGAGGCUUUUAUGCAUGUUGAAAAAGUACUAAUCUACUGUUAUCUGAGGGCACAGUUGCUAUCUUGUAUUUGAAUAACUGUCAGUGAUUUCUUUGUGAUAUUUCUUUGAUACGAUAAUUUCAUGAAUCAUGACAAUCAUCAUUCCUGUUUUUUUGUGCUAGUAUUGUAUUGUCUUGUUAAUUCUAGUUUUGCAUGUAUUUGCCGCCCAUGUUGGAGAGAAUGAUUGUGAUAAGUUUAUGUAAACUCCAAAUUUUCAAGUUUUGUUUAAGUGUGUUUAUAAUUAGAGCCACAGGUAGUAAUGUUUGAAGUUGGACAGUGUAUAUUAUUUAAGUUUCCCCUUGUUUUCUCUUUUGGUGUCUUUUUUUUUUUUAUUACCGCAUAACAUUGAAUUUCUUCUGUUUCUAAACUUUUACCUUUCCUCUCCUAAUCUCCUUUUCUACAUAUGGCAAUAAUUCUCCAUGACUUUUGCAAAUAAAUUCAAGACUGCAAUUGAGUGCUUCAAUUUUAGAAUCCUUCUAAAGGUCAAAAGGUCAAGAAUGCUGUCUUGUUGGGGAACUAAAUAUAGGGAAUAGGUGGUUAUUGGUGGUUGUGUAGGAGACAAUGUUAGAUGGGUCCCACCAUUAAGACCUGUAUUUGAAAUGUAACUAACCAACUGGCUAUUGAAAUGUAUAUGGGAUAGUCAACAAAGUCUUACUCUUGCAUGGAGUGACUAUUGAAAUGUAUAUGGUAGAAUAUUUUGUAUGUA